Molecule: long non-coding RNA, 990 nt
Filed under: Felis catus (domestic cat)
Lineage: Eukaryota; Metazoa; Chordata; Mammalia; Carnivora; Felidae
Description: lncRNA (ENSFCAG00000046727.2)
Source: RNAcentral
CAUGAAACCUUCUUGAGCUGGAGGUUUUCUCUGGAAAGUACUAUAGUAAUAUGAAAAUCACAGUGCUUGUUGUUGCCCAUCACUUGACCACACCGAUGGGACACAGGGCUCUUCUGACUCCUAAGGUUUGAGAGAGACCACAAAUUGUGGUCAAUUAGGAGGUUUCAUUAUUAGUAGCUCUGCCAACCCAAAUAUGCGUCAGGGGAUAGCAAACGUCAUCACCACUCGCUGUUGCCAACAGCUUCCUCACCUCCUGGCAAGGGCAUGCACCAUCUCUUCUUCCCUUCGGGCUGUUGCCUGGGGAGGAUUAGGAAACCACAAGGCUAAAGACCUUCAUGUUCUAAGAGCUGAGUCCAUGCUGCUGAAAGAAGGGCCCUGUGGAUAUUCACUCUGUAGCCCUCAGGACAUCAUACCUAGCUGUUUAUGCAUCUGAACUUGGGUCUCUGCUGCCAAACUGGAAUUGGAGCAGCGGGAAGGUCUGGAAUGAGGUUCUGCUUGGUCCCAGAGAAGACCCACUCACUGCUUCUCCAUCAUGUCCACCUGCAGUUCGAAACCUUUGCACUGAUCAUCUUCCAUGACCGUGGAUGUAUAAGUUGUGCCACUGCAGGUCAGAUAACUGCAGCAGCCAAGUUCUUGGAGGUGACUAGCCUUCCCAGGUUACAAUAUUAGUUCCUUCCCUUGCCCUCCCCCUGUUACAGGCUAAUAGGACAGUGGCAUUUGUUGCAUCUGAUUAUUUCUAGAAAGAUGUUAAUGGUCUCUUUACCUUCUGCUUUGACAAAGCAGCUGUGAAGGAGCCAGGAUGCCAGUGUGCAGGGCUGCUGUAGGAUAAAAACCCACAGUGGCAGGAAAUUACCCUAAUAGGGUGAAAAUUAAGAAACAACCAAUGGCACAGCCUGUUUCCAGGAUACGGGUAGUAGUUUCACGCCUUGGAAUUAUUCCCUGAGAAUCAAUUUGGUGGUUCUUUAAAAAAAAUUAGAUUUGAACCUGAAG